GACGAACGCUGGCGGCGUGCUUAACACAUGCAAGUCGAACGGAAAGGCCCUGCUUUUGUGGGGUGCUCGAGUGGCGAACGGGUGAGUAACACGUGAGUAACCUGCCCUUGACUUUGGGAUAACUUCAGGAAACUGGGGCUAAUACCGGAUAGGAGCUCCUGCUGCAUGGUGGGGGUUGGAAAGUUUCGGCGGUUGGGGAUGGACUCGCGGCUUAUCAGCUUGUUGGUGGGGUAGUGGCUUACCAAGGCUUUGACGGGUAGCCGGCCUGAGAGGGUGACCGGCCACAUUGGGACUGAGAUACGGCCCAGACUCCUACGGGAGGCAGCAGUGGGGAAUACUGCACAAUGGGCGGAAGCCUGAUGCAGCAACGCCGCGUGCGGGAUGACGGCCUUCGGGUUGUAAACCGCUUUCGCCUGUGACGAAGCGUGAGUGGCGGUAAUGGGUAAAGAAGCACCGGCUAACUACGUG
Molecule: ribosomal RNA, 468 nt
Filed under: uncultured bacterium
Lineage: Bacteria
Description: partial 16S ribosomal RNA
Rfam family: Bacterial small subunit ribosomal RNA
Source: RNAcentral